This is a long non-coding RNA of Pteropus alecto (black flying fox), 1809 nucleotides long. RefSeq lists it as uncharacterized. The transcript has 2 exons. Lineage: Eukaryota; Metazoa; Chordata; Mammalia; Chiroptera; Pteropodidae. The record is from RefSeq and is a predicted model, not a curated record.
CCGGCGGUCGCAGAUUCAAGUUUUUCUAGCCGCUUUCUUGUAGAAGUACCUUUGGUCACCCGGCGGCUGCUCGCACUACAAUUCCGCUGCAGAAUUUCCCAGAGCUGAGGCAGACGCACCUAGCUUUCUUUAGGGAAGAAUGGAUUUGUUAAAACUAUUUUAUGUUGUCGUUCGGAGCUCUUUGCCGGAAAAAGGAAGAUUUGAAUGAAGGGUGGAACAUGGCUCUGGCUUAAGAGGUUGCUCUUUGAGGGAGCGGAUUGAGGAGACCGGAAUAUGAAAGAAAAAGGAAAUUUCUAACUAAGAAAUGAAGAAGGUUGUUGAAAAAAGGUGGAAGACUACUGUGAGGUGGAAGAAGGCCCUCAGUCAAUGGGAGGUCUCUCUUCCCCGGUAAUAAAUAUACGAAGCUCAUCAGGAUCAACACCGGAGGAGUGACUGACCUGGAGUGUAAAGAUGAUUUUAAAAGGCCUGGAUAAAUUUGUGGAUUUAUCUGUAAACCACAGUUGAUUUUGCCUCCUACUUUUAGAAAAUGGUUACCAUUAUGGUUCUUCAUAUGGAAGUUGCUCUGAAGUGCUGUGGAAGAGAACUACAAGGAUAAUUAGGAACCCUUCCUCUGGUUCCCAGUUUUUGUUUGUAAAAUGCCCUCCAAUGCCCUCUGUCUUUGCCAAAUCACCCUAAAACCUCCAGAACCGAGUUCUUCAUUCAACAAAUUCAGGUUUAUUGAUCCACUACAAUGAGGGAGAGCUCACACCAGAGGAACUGUGGGGCAUCUCCCCAAACAAAGGAAAAGAUGUAGUUACAGGGUGUUGGGGGGAGGGUGGAGUUCAGGUAAAAUUUAAAUGAAGUUGUGUUUUGAUAGUGUUAAAGAAAAAAACACAGAUAUAAGUGUAGAACCAGCUCGAACUGGCUGUAUCCUGUUCCUAACAAGAUAAUUGAGUUGUUUUUCUGGGACAACAGAACAAAACUGCAAGUUAUUCAGCCAAGCAUAAGCAGAGGAGAGAAUUUUGACUUCCCAUUACAUCUUGAACCAAAGUUUCACCUCACCCCCAACCCUGCCUCCCACAGAAGCGAAAGACAAGAGAGGACCGGAACCUGAACACCAGGAACCCUUUCAGAAGUGGAGGAUCCACCGUCUAAGAAGAUGUAGUGCUGAAGCCCCUUACCAUGUCUAACCAUAAAUGGCCAAGUUCCAAAGCUCUCCAAUUGCGACUUGCCCUGCCAGUGCUUCUGCAUACCAGCCUGUUCCCCUCGACCCCUUAAAUACCUCUCUGAACUCUGGGUCAAGGAGACAGAUUUGAGCUCUGCUUCCUGUCCUCUUACUAUCACCCUCACAAUAAAGCUUUUCCUUUUUUCAAAAGCCAGUGCCACAGUGUUGGCUUCUAUGAGCAUGGGGCAGCAUUCCCUUGCUCCAGAACACAGGCCCAAAAUGGUGUUACUAGUGCUGAAAGCACAGGAUACCAAACCUAGAUUUAAUACCUGAUCUAAUUGCAGUUUUAACUUCUCCCAGAAACACGGCCUUAACCAGUAUGGAAUUUUCUGAUCAAGCACCAGUAAGAUAGUCACAUAGGCUCUCUUCAUCCCCCAUAGAAAGAAGAGGCAAUCUACACAAUAUAAACACUGCCCCUUCUCUUCCCUCUAAGAAAAGAUGUCUUGGCCCAAAAAUAAUCCUUUCUUUUCUUUCGCUAAUAGCUCCCUUGCCCACCCUUCUUUUAAAAUACUUUUAUUUUGUACAACUUCGAGCACCCUUCUAAUUGCUAGAUGGGAUGUUGCCUGACUCAUGAAUUGCUUAAUAAAGUCAUUUAGAUCUUCGCA